GUGGGGAUUAGUGGCGAACGGGUGAGUAACACGUGGGCAAUCUGCCCUGCACUCUGGGACAAGCCCUGGAAACGGGGUCUAAUACCGGAUACUGACCAUUGCAGGCAUCUGUGAUGGUCGAAAGCUCCGGCGGUGCAGGAUGAGCCCGCGGCCUAUCAGCUUGUUGGUGAGGUAGUGGCUCACCAAGGCGACGACGGGUAGCCGGCCUGAGAGGGCGACCGGCCACACUGGGACUGAGACACGGCCCAGACUCCUACGGGAGGCAGCAGUGGGGAAUAUUGCACAAUGGGCGAAAGCCUGAUGCAGCGACGCCGCGUGAGGGAUGACGGCCUUCGGGUUGUAAACCUCUUUCAGCAGGGAAGAAGCGAAAGUGACGGUACCUGCAGAAGAAGCGCCGGCUAACUACGUGCCAGCAGCCGCGGUAAUACGUAGGGCGCGAGCGUUGUCCGGAAUUAUUGGGCGUAAAGAGCUCGUAGGCGGCUUGUCACGUCGGUUGUGAAAGCCCGGGGCUUAACCCCGGGUCUGCAGUCGAUACGGGCAGGCUAGAGUUCGGUAGGGGAGAUCGGAAUUCCUGGUGUAGCGGUGAAAUGCGCAGAUAUCAGGAGGAACACCGGUGGCGAAGGCGGAUCUCUGGGCCGAUACUGACGCUGAGGAGCGAAAGCGUG
This 665-nucleotide ribosomal RNA is filed under the name Streptomyces luteogriseus. RNAcentral's name for it is "bacterial SSU rRNA". It matches the Rfam family "Bacterial small subunit ribosomal RNA", at positions 85 to 763 of the family's 1533-position model. Lineage: Bacteria; Bacillati; Actinomycetota; Actinomycetes; Kitasatosporales; Streptomycetaceae. The record is from RNAcentral.